UAGGGAAUAUUGGACAAUGGGGGCAACCCUGAUCCAGCCAUGCCGCGUGAGUGAAGAAGGCCCUCGGGUUGUAAAGCUCUUUUGUCCGGAAAGAAAAGCAUUCGGUGAAUACCCGGAUGUUCAGACGGUACCGGAAGAAUAAGCACCGGCUAACUUCGUGCCAGCAGCCGCGGUAAUACGAAGGGUGCAAGCGUUACUCGGAAUUACUGGGCGUAAAGCGUGCGUAGGUGGUUGUUUAAGUCUGAUGUGAAAGCCCUGGGCUCAACCUGGGAAUGGCAUUGGAAACUGGGCAGCUUGAGUGCGGUAGAGNGUAGUGGAAUUCCCGGUGUAGCAGUGAAAUGCGUAGAGAGCGGGAGGAACAUCUGUGGCGAAGGCGACUGCCUGGACCAGCGCUGACACUGAGGCACGAAAGCGUGGGGAGCAAACA
RNAcentral lists this ribosomal RNA (427 nucleotides) under uncultured bacterium. RNAcentral describes it as "bacterial SSU rRNA". It matches the Rfam family "Bacterial small subunit ribosomal RNA", at positions 355 to 774 of the family's 1533-position model. The record is from RNAcentral.